RNAcentral lists this ribosomal RNA (253 nucleotides) under uncultured bacterium. RNAcentral's name for it is "partial 16S ribosomal RNA". It matches the Rfam family "Bacterial small subunit ribosomal RNA", at positions 524 to 776 of the family's 1533-position model. The record is from RNAcentral.
UACGGGGGGGGCAAGCGUUGUUCGGAAUCACUGGGCAUAAAGCGCACGUAGGCGGCUAACUAAGUCAGGUGUGAAAUCCCCCGGCUCAACCGGGGAACUGCGCCUGAUACUGGUUGGCUUGAGAACGGUAGGGGUGAGUGGAACUCCAGGUGGAGCGGUGAAAUGCGUAGAUAUCUGGAGGAACACCGGUGGCGAAAGCGGCUCACUGGACCGUAACUGACGCUGAGGUGCGAAAGCUAGGGUAGCAAACGGG